This 292-nucleotide ribosomal RNA is filed under the name uncultured microorganism. RNAcentral's name for it is "partial 16S ribosomal RNA". It matches the Rfam family "Bacterial small subunit ribosomal RNA", at positions 505 to 796 of the family's 1533-position model. The record is from RNAcentral.
GUGCCAGCAGCCGCGGUAAUACGUAGGUGGCAAGCGUUGUCCGGAAUUAUUGGGCGUAAAGCGCGCGCAGGCGGCCUUUUAAGUCUGAUGUGAAAGCCCCCGGCUCAACCGGGGAGGGUCAUUGGAAACUGGGAGGCUUGAGUGCAGAAGAGGAGAGUGGAAUUCCAUGUGUAGCGGUGAAAUGCGUAGAUAUGUGGAGGAACACCAGUGGCGAACGCGACUCUCUGGUCUGUAACUGACGCUGAGGCGCGAAAGCGUGGGGAGCAAACAGGAUUAGAUACUCUGGUAGUCC